RNAcentral lists this ribosomal RNA (449 nucleotides) under uncultured Chloroflexota bacterium. Its description in RNAcentral is "bacterial SSU rRNA". It matches the Rfam family "Bacterial small subunit ribosomal RNA", at positions 923 to 1382 of the family's 1533-position model. The record is from RNAcentral. Lineage: Bacteria; Bacillati; Chloroflexota.
GCACAAGCAGCGGAGCGUGUGGUUUAAUUCGAUGCAACGCGAAGAACCUUACCAGGGUUUGACAUGCUUAAAGUAGGAACUCGAAAGAGGGACGACCUGUAUCCAGUCAGGAGUUUGCACAGGUGCUGCAUGGCUGUCGUCAGCUCGUGCCGUGAGGUGUUAGGUUAAGUCCUGCAACGAGCGCAACCCUCGUCGCUAGUUGUUUUCUCUAGCGAUACUGCCCGUAUAACGUGGAGGAAGGUGGGGAUGACGUCAAGUCAGCAUGGCCCUUACAUCCUGGGCUACACACACGCUACAAUGGGUGAUACAACAGGUUGCAAUAGAGUAAUCUGGAGCUAAUCCCUAAAAUCAUCCUCAGUACGGAUUGCAGGCUGAAACUGCCUGCAUGAAGUUGGAGUUGCUAGUAAACGCAGGUCAGCUAUACUGCGGUGAAUACGUUCCCGGGGCUU